AAAAAGCUUCAAACUGGGAUUAGAUACCCCACUAUGCUUAGCCAUAAACAAAGACAUUAAUAUACAACAAUGUUCGCCCGGACACUACAAGCAUAAGCUUAAAACCCAAAGGACCUGACGGUGCCUUAGACCCCCCUAGAGGAGCCUGUUCUAGAACUGAUUAUCCCCGUUAAACCUCACCAUUCCUAGUAAUAUCAGCCUAUAUACCACCGUCGCCAGCUUACCCUGUGAAGGCAUAAAAGUAAGCAAGAUGGGUAAAACCCAAAAAGUCAGGUCGAGGUGUAGCAUAUGGAGUGGGAAGAAAUGGGCUACAUUUUCUAACACAGAAUAUAACGAAUAUGUAUACAUGAAAAAAUACUUGAAGGAGGAUUUAGUAGUAAAAGAGAAACAGAGUGUCUCUUUGAACCCGG
This 410-nucleotide ribosomal RNA is filed under the name Danio choprae. RNAcentral describes it as "Danio choprai partial 12S ribosomal RNA". It matches the Rfam family "Bacterial small subunit ribosomal RNA", at positions 754 to 1371 of the family's 1533-position model. Lineage: Eukaryota; Metazoa; Chordata; Actinopteri; Cypriniformes; Danionidae. The record is from RNAcentral.